UCCACGCAUUGGUAAAAUAUCAUAUGAUGGUUGAUAUUAAAAAUAACAUUUGCAUAAAAUUUCUGCUAUCAAUCACUUUUUGUUUUGUUUUAUCUAAAAAGCAAUGUAUAUUUGCUAUACAAAGAUCAUUUCAUAUGCAAUUUGAUCAUCACACAUGUUCUAAAGUGCAGUACUCUAGUUGAUUUUCCACAUGGUUUCUGGUUUGUUGGUCCUUAUCUCGUUGGCG
RNAcentral lists this long non-coding RNA (226 nucleotides) under Elaeis guineensis (African oil palm). Its description in RNAcentral is "long non-coding RNA (EGUI_LNC073287)". Lineage: Eukaryota; Viridiplantae; Streptophyta; Magnoliopsida; Arecales; Arecaceae. The record is from RNAcentral.